Molecule: ribosomal RNA, 253 nt
Filed under: uncultured bacterium
Lineage: Bacteria
Also listed under: 1 other name
Description: partial 16S ribosomal RNA
Rfam family: Bacterial small subunit ribosomal RNA
Source: RNAcentral
UACAGGGGGGGCAAGCGUUGUUCGGAAUUACUGGGCGUAAAGGGCCAGUAGGCGGCCAACUAAGUCACACGUGAAAUCCCCAGGCUUAACCUGGGAACUGCGUGUGAUACUGGAUGGCUUGAAUUCGGGAGAGGGAUGCAGAAUUCCAGGUGUAGCGGUGAAAUGCGUAGAUAUCUGGAGGAAUACCGGUGGCGAAGGCGGCAUCCUGGACCGACAUUGACGCUGAACGGCGAAAGCUAGGGGAGCAAACGGG